This 460-nucleotide ribosomal RNA is filed under the name uncultured bacterium. RNAcentral's name for it is "partial 16S ribosomal RNA". It matches the Rfam family "Bacterial small subunit ribosomal RNA", at positions 338 to 795 of the family's 1533-position model. The record is from RNAcentral.
CCUACGGGUGGCAGCAGUGAGGAAUAUUGGUCAAUGGACGCGGGCCUGAACCAGCCAAGUAGCGUGAAGGAUGACUGCCCUACGGGUUGUAAACUGCUUUUAUAAAGGAAUAAAGUGAGGCACGUGUGCCUUUUUGUAUGUACUUUAUGAAUAAGGAGCGGCUAACUCCGUGCCAGCAGCCGCGGUAAUACGGAGGAUCCGAGCGUUAUCCGGAUUUAUUGGGUUUAAAGGGAGCGUAGAUGGGUUUUUAAGUCAGUUGUGAAAGUUUGCGGCUCAACCGUAGAAUUGCAGUUGAUACUGGCAGCCUUGAGUGCAGUUGAGGUAGGCGGAAUUCGUGGUGUAGCGGUGAAAUGCUUAGAUAUCACGAAGAACUCCGAUUGCGAAGGCAGCUUACUAAACUGCCACUGACAUUGAUGCUCGAAAGUGUGGGUAUCAAACAGGAUUAGAUACCCGGGUAGUC